RNAcentral lists this ribosomal RNA (586 nucleotides) under Morchella americana. RNAcentral's name for it is "eukaryotic LSU rRNA". It matches the Rfam family "Eukaryotic large subunit ribosomal RNA", at positions 57 to 655 of the family's 3401-position model. Lineage: Eukaryota; Fungi; Ascomycota; Pezizomycetes; Pezizales; Morchellaceae. The record is from RNAcentral.
AAAAGAAACCAACAGGGAUUGCCUCAGUAACGGCGAGUGAAGCGGCAAAAGCUCAAAUUUUAAAGCUGGCACCUCCGGUGUCCGCGUUGUAAUUUUGUGAGGCAUCUCCGGGUGGGGCGCCGGCCUAAGUUCCUUGGAACAGGACGUCAUAGAGGGUGAGAAUCCCGUGCUUGGCUGGCUGUCCCCGUCCAUGUGAGGUGUCUUCGACGAGUCGAGUUGUUUGGGAAUGCAGCUCAAAAUGGGUGGUAAAUUUCAUCUAAAGCUAAAUAUUGGUGGGAGACCGAUAGCGCACAAGUAGAGUGAUCGAAAGAUGAAAAGCACUUUGAAAAUAGAGUUAAAAAGUACGUGAAAUUGUUGAAAGGGAAGCGCUUGAGACCAGACUUCGGUGGGGAGUGAUCAGCCGUCCUUCUGGGCGGUGCACUUGCCCCCCUCCGGGCCAGCAUCGGUUGGGACGGCGGGAUAAAGGUCCCGGGAAUGUGGCUCCUCUCGGGGAGUGUUAUAGCCCGGGUGAAUGCCGCCAGCCCCGACCGAGGACCGCGCCUUCGGGCUAGGAUGCUUGGCAUAAUGGUCUUCAGCGACCCGUCUU